CACACAGGUGAAGUGAGAACUCCUCUAACACACACACACACACACACACACACAGGUGAAGUGAGGUGAGGUGAGAAUCUCCCCAGAAUAGUGAUGAGGUCCAGUGGACACGUGACUCUGGUGAGGGCCUGUGUGUGUUAUGUGUGUGUGUUAUGUGUGUGUUAUGUGUGUGUUUCAGGUGAUCAGGUGACAAUCAGAGUACACUUAACCACAUCAUGUGAAUGCAUCCUGGAUGAAAUGUGCUCCAAUCACUCAACCCACUAAAUGGAUUCUGACCACACUGCACAGAAUCACACAGAAUGGCAGCAUGACUCUUCAGGACCCUCACGCCCUGGUGCCAGACGCCCCAGACAGGACCCUCACGCCCUCGUGCCAGACGCCCCAGACAGGACCCUAACACACACACUCACGCCAGACGCCCCAGACAGGACCCUAACACACACACUCACGCCAGACGCCCCAGACAGGACCCUCACGCCCUGGUGCCAGACGCCCCAGACUCACGCCCUGGUGCCAGAUGCCCCAGACAGGACCCUAACACACACACACUCACGCCAGACGCCCCAGACAGGACCCUAACACACACACACACGCCAGACGCCCCAGACAGGACCCUCACGCCCUGGUGCCAGACGCCCCAGACUCACGCCCUGGUGCCAGACGCCCCAGACUCACGCCCUGGUGCCAGACGCCCCAGACAGGACCCUAACACACACACUCACGCCAGACGCCCCAGACAGGACCCUCACGCCCUGGUGCCAGACGCCCCAGACUCACGCCCUGGUGCCAGACGCCCCAGACAGGACCCUAACAUACACACUCACGCCAGACGCCCCAGACAGGACCCUAACACACACACUCACGCCAGACGCCCCAGACAGGACCCUCACGCCCUGGUGCCAGACGCCCCAGACUCACGCCCUGGUGCCAGACGCCCCAGACAGGACCCUAACACACACACUCACGCCAGACGCCCCAGACAGGACCCUAACACACACACUCACGCCAGACGCCCCAGACAGGACCCUCACGCCCUCGUGCCAGACGCCCCAGACUCACGCCCUGGUGCCAGACGCCCCAGACAGGACCCUAACACACACACUCACGCCAGACGCCCCAGACAGGACCCUCGUGCCAGACGCCCCAGACAGGACCCUCACGCCCUCGUGCCAGACGCCCCAGACUCAUGUCCUGGUGCCAGACGCCCCAGACAGUCAGCAGCAGAUCUGCUGGUGGAGGUUGGUGUGCUAAAUGCUAAACGCUAAAUGCCUGAUCUACCCAGAGACCAGCUCUUUCUGGAGCGGACCAGGCCCCGCACCGCCGCAGGUCCGGCUGAGUUACGGCCCACAUACGGCCCACAUGCGGCCCUGCUCUGGGCCGGGCUCCGCAGCAGCAGCCCCUCUGAUGAGCGACCCGCCACUCAAGCGCCGGGAACAAACCACAGGCCAUCACUUAGAGCACCGCAGCUCCAGAGCCCUCGCUGCAGCACGCGCUCCACUAGGCCACCAGGGGGCCCCGUGCUCAAAAGAGAUGAGUGACACGGCCUUUUGAGCGGACCGGCGGGAGCCGCACAGGCUGUGCGUUAGCGGCUCAAAGGCGUGACGUGGGGGAGCGGAGGAUGCCAGAUCAUUCCGCCACGGGUCGGGACUGCUGCCUGCUGUUCGCCGCUUUUAUCGCCCUCAUUGGUAAUGCACCACACUGACUAGAGCAACUCAGACACACACUAACACAUGGAAACACACACACACACACAAACACUGGCAUACAAAAAAACACACACACACUGGCAUACACAAACACACACACAGGCAUACACAAACACACACAAACACAUUGAAAUACACACACUAGCACACCCACACACAUGGAAAAAACACAUACUGCCACACACACACACACUUACACACACACACACCAGCGUGAAGCCAAAGCCUGUGCUCUGGGAUUACCUGUGAAAGCACACAACAAGAAUUCAUUGUUCACCUAAAACCAUAAAAAGAACAUACCGGAGCUGAACUAUUGACAUAUUUAAUAUAACACGGUGUUCAUUAAAACCAUAAAAAC
Long non-coding RNA from Clupea harengus (Atlantic herring), 2064 nucleotides. The record is from Ensembl. Lineage: Eukaryota; Metazoa; Chordata; Actinopteri; Clupeiformes; Clupeidae.